Molecule: small nucleolar RNA, 133 nt
Organism: Arvicola amphibius (Eurasian water vole)
Lineage: Eukaryota; Metazoa; Chordata; Mammalia; Rodentia; Cricetidae
Product: small nucleolar RNA SNORA70
Exons: 1
Source: RefSeq, a predicted model, not a curated record
CUGCGACCAGUCAAACUAAUCAGGUUCCUUUUCUCAAGGGGACCGGGUGUGCAGUGGCUACCAGCAGCAGCCCCUUGGGAACGCAUGCAGCCUCUUGCCUGUAUGGGUUCUCUAAGGAACCCUGAAGGCCCAU